UCUGUGAUAGCUCCUGCAGUGUCUCUUCCACUUGUGUGGAAGUUUGAAGUUGACUGCUGGAAUGGGCAUGGAGAGCUAGCAAUUCAUAAGAGAGCAGUGGUUUCUGUGCUUGUGGAAUUAACACUUGAGUGUGUGUGUGUGUGCAAGUGUGUUCCCGCACAGGCAGCGGGAUCAGUGAAUACACAAGGGGAUCCCAGGCCACGAGUGCUGCGAGGAAAAGCCCUGUCUGCGGGCUGAUGGACGCCCUCGCGUGGAUGGAGGGGACUUACCCGGUGUUGGUGGGCCAGGGAGGAUCUAUCUGAGGAGGCGAUUUUGGACGGAGUGACUGGAAGGCUCUAGCAUUGCGAGACUGGAGAAAGAAGCUCCCAGCGCAGAGGCGGUGAGAGAGUCCGGAGUUUGGGUGCCUCGGGGCCAGGAGGAGAGCAGGGGGCGUGCGGCUGGCAGAGGUGAGAGCAGCAGUAGGAGGGGUUGUGAGAGAGGAUGUGCCAGCCCGGG
Long non-coding RNA from Perognathus longimembris pacificus (Pacific pocket mouse), 495 nucleotides. RefSeq lists it as uncharacterized. The record is from RefSeq and is a predicted model, not a curated record. The transcript is spliced from 3 exons. Lineage: Eukaryota; Metazoa; Chordata; Mammalia; Rodentia; Heteromyidae.